AACAUUCUAAAAUUUAACAAUUUACCCCCAAAAAAGCACAGAAGACUCUCACCGCCCAUCUCGUUCGAUCUAAAAUCCUAACCCUAGUCUCAAAUUCAUCUCUUCACUCUCAACUUUCGAUCUGAAGUCCGAAACCCUAGUCUCAUAUCAAUCUCUUCACUCUCAACUGAAUCAACGGGGAAUCGAUGAAUUUCACUGUUGGAGCUCAUCAGGACUGGGAAUCGACGGUAGAUAUUUUUAGCUUCUCUCAUGUCUCUGUCUCACUUCAGAAGAAAAUGUAUUCCUUUACUGAUUAGUUCGUAAGAGUUCGAGAUUUUAUGACUAUGCCUGAGCUUUUGUCUCUUUUGAAAGCGGCAAGUACAUGGCGUCGAUUUUGCCAUUUUGAGGUUAUGACGUUCUGCAAUAUUAAAGUGAACUUAUGGGUUUUGCUCAAAAGACAAUAUUUGUAUUGAAAUGGUACGGCUCUAACUGUUGGAUUUUUAGCUUCUGGUGAAAUGUUGUGAGGGAAUGUACUUGGUCGAGUCUACUGAUGCAAUUUUGAUAACAUUUUUGGAAAGAUUCAAGCCCUAAGCUAAUUGAACGAGACUGGGGAUUUUAUCUGUUUUUCAAGUUCGCAAAGGGUGCAGGAUGUACCUCCUCUGCUGGUAGCCUGGUCCUACCAAGUUAAGCAUCCCGGCUCAAGAUUAAUGGAAGCAGAAUGAGAAUCAUGAGGGACAUCAGCAAUAGGAAAAACUGGUUUUGAAUACUUGGUUCUACAAGGAUUUCUGCAACUACUUCAUUAGGAAUGAGGGAUAAUGAAGUAUGUGCAUGUUCAGUUCUCCUCUAGCUUUCUUGUGGUAUUCUAGAAUAUCCUUCAUGAUGUUUUUAUUUUUGAGGCAUAUGCAAUUACUCUUGGUAGGUUUUGAAUACUUGGUUCUACAUUGGAAGAUGCAUGAUUGGAAGACUUCAAGUUUACAAAAUGGAUGUCAUUCUGCUUGGAGUAUUAGAAAAAGCUUCACAUUGCGAAGGAUGUUAGUUCCUUAUUUAAAGGGAUUGUAUAAAACAGUGACUUAUAUGUCAUGGCCAUUCAGUGCUACUUAUGGAAUGUUAAUCAUUUAUUCCUGUAAUUGACUAUUUAAUAUGUAAUUGACUAUUUAAUACUCCCUCCGUUUCAAUUUAUAUGAACCCAUUUGACUGCGCA
Long non-coding RNA from Lycium barbarum (goji berry), 1180 nucleotides. RefSeq lists it as uncharacterized. The record is from RefSeq and is a predicted model, not a curated record. NCBI's taxonomy places the organism in Eukaryota, Viridiplantae, Streptophyta, Magnoliopsida, Solanales, Solanaceae. The transcript is spliced from 6 exons.